This 257-nucleotide ribosomal RNA is filed under the name Staphylococcus epidermidis. RNAcentral's name for it is "partial 16S ribosomal RNA". It matches the Rfam family "Bacterial small subunit ribosomal RNA", at positions 1 to 246 of the family's 1533-position model. Lineage: Bacteria; Bacillati; Bacillota; Bacilli; Caryophanales; Staphylococcaceae. The record is from RNAcentral.
UUUUAUGGAGAGUUUGAUCCUGGCUCAGGAUGAACGCUGGCGGCGUGCCUAAUACAUGCAAGUCGAGCGAACAGAUGAGGAGCUUGCUCCUCUGACGUUAGCGGCGGACGGGUGAGUAACACGUGGAUAACCUACCUAUAAGACUGGGAUAACUUCGGGAAACCGGAGCUAAUACCGGAUAAUAUAUUGAACCGCAUGGUUCAAUAGUGAAAGACGGUUUUGCUGUCACUUAUAGAUGGAUCCGCGCCGCAUUAGCU